AUCAAUAAGCGGAGGAAAAGAAACCAACAGGGAUUGCCUUAGUAACGGCGAGUGAAGCGGCAACAGCUCAAAUUUGAAAUCUGGCCCUUGGGUCCGAAUUGUAAUUUGUAGAGGAUGAUUUUGGUGCGGUAUCUUCCGAGUUCCUUGGAACAGGACGCCUUAGAGGGUGAGAGCCCCGUACGGUUGAAUGCCUAGCCUCUGUAAAUCUCCUUCGACGAGUCGAGUAGUUUGGGAAUGCUGCUCUAAAUGGGAGGUAAAUUUCUUCUAAAGCUAAAUAUUGGCCAGAGACCGAUAGCGCACAAGUAGAGUGAUCGAAAGAUGAAAAGCACUUUGAAAAGAGGGUUAAAUAGCACGUGAAAUUGUUGAAAGGGAAGGAUUUGUGACCAGACUUUUUCUGGGCGGAUCAUCCGGGGUUCUCUCCGGUGCACUUCGCCCAGUAAAGGCCAGCAUCGGUUUUCGGCGUGGGAUAAAAGCAGUAGGAAUGUGGCUCUCUACGGGGAGUGUUAUAGCCUAUUGUAUAAUACCGCGCUGGGGACCGAGGUUCGCGCUUCUGCAAGGAUGCUGGCGUAAUGGUUAUCAAUCACCCGUCUUGAAACACGGACCAAGGAGUCGAACAUUUGUGCAAGUGUUUGGGUGUUAAACCCUCACGCGUAAUGAAAGUGAACGGAGGUGAGAGCCCUUACGGGUGCAUCAUCGACCGAUCCUGAAGUUUUCGGAUGGAUUUGAGUAAGAGCAUAACUGUUCGGACCCGAAAGAUGGUGAACUAUGCGUGGAUAGGGUGAAGCCAGAGGAAACUCUGGUGGAGGCUCGCAGCGGUUCUGACGUGCAAAUCGAUCGUCAAAUCUGCGCAUGGGGGCGAAAGACUAAUCGAACCAUCUAGUAGCUGGUUACC
This 892-nucleotide ribosomal RNA is filed under the name Neopestalotiopsis mesopotamica. RNAcentral describes it as "LSU rRNA". It matches the Rfam family "Eukaryotic large subunit ribosomal RNA", at positions 42 to 959 of the family's 3401-position model. Lineage: Eukaryota; Fungi; Ascomycota; Sordariomycetes; Amphisphaeriales; Sporocadaceae. The record is from RNAcentral.